Molecule: ribosomal RNA, 460 nt
Filed under: uncultured bacterium
Lineage: Bacteria
Description: partial 16S ribosomal RNA
Rfam family: Bacterial small subunit ribosomal RNA
Source: RNAcentral
CCUACGGGUGGCAGCAGUGAGGAAUAUUGGUCAAUGGACGAGAGUCUGAACCAGCCAAGUAGCGUGAAGGAUGACUGCCCUAUGGGUUGUAAACUUCUUUUAUAUGGGAAUAAAACGUUCCACGUGUGGGAUUUUGUAUGUACCAUAUGAAUAAGGAUCGGCUAACUCCGUGCCAGCAGCCGCGGUAAUACGGAGGAUCCGAGCGUUAUCCGGAUUUAUUGGGUUUAAAGGGAGCGUAGGUGGAUUGUUAAGUCAGUUGUGAAAGUUUGCGGCUCAACCGUAAAAUUGCAGUUGAAACUGGCAGUCUUGAGUACAGUAGAGGUGGGCGGAAUUCGUGGUGUAGCGGUGAAAUGCUUAGAUAUCACUAAGAACUCCGAUUGCGAAGGCAGUUCACUGGACUGCAACUGACACUGAGGCUCGAAAGUGUGGGUAUCAAACAGGAUUAGAUACCCUUGUAGUC